UUAAAUUUUUCGCGUCGAUUUUGCUUGUGUGCAGUUUUUAUCGCGUUCUUCAUCAAUUUUAGAUACCUUGCUUUUUAUCGUUCCGGCCACCAGAUUCGUUGGUUUUCAUAAAGUUUCAUUUGCCUGUGCCACUUCCACCCGUGUUUAUAAGGCGUAAUAUUCAACUGGAGAUACCUUGCUUUUUAUCGUUCCAGCCACCAGAUUCGUUGGUUUUCAUAAAGUUUCAUUUGCCUGUGCCACUUCCACCCGUGUUUAUAAGGCGUAAUAUUCAACUGGAGAUACCUUACUUUUUUAUCGUUCCGGCUGCUGUAUUAUCCGAUUCUUGUGUGUUGGUUGGUAUAUCGGAAGCUUUAGUGCAAG
Molecule: long non-coding RNA, 360 nt
Organism: Rhagoletis pomonella (apple maggot)
Lineage: Eukaryota; Metazoa; Arthropoda; Insecta; Diptera; Tephritidae
Exons: 4
Source: RefSeq, a predicted model, not a curated record